GACGAACGCUGGCGGCGUGCUUAACACAUGCAAGUCGAACGGUGAAGCGCUUGCCUUUUUGGUGGGUGUGGAUGAGUGGCGAACGGGUGAGUAACACGUGAGUAACCUGCCCUCUUCUUCUGGAUAACCUCAUGAAAGUGGGGCUAAUACGGGGUAUUCCGGGUCUGUCGCAUGGCGGGUUUGGGAAAGAUUGCGCCUUUGGGUGUUUUCGGUGGGGGAUGGGCUCGCGGCCUAUCAGCUUGUUGGUGGGGUGAUGGCCUACCAAGGCGGUGACGGGUAGCCGGCCUGAGAGGGUGGACGGCCACACUGGGACUGAGACACGGCCCAGACUCCUGCGGGAGGCAGCAGUGGGGAAUAUUGCACAAUGGGCGCAAGCCGGAUGCAGCGACGCCGCGUGAGGGAUGGAGGCCUUCGGGUGGUGAACCUCUUUCGCCAGUGAAGCAGGCCUGCUCCUGUGUGGGUGGGUUGACGGUAGCUGGAUAAGAAGCGCCGGCUAACUACGUG
RNAcentral lists this ribosomal RNA (504 nucleotides) under uncultured bacterium. Its description in RNAcentral is "partial 16S ribosomal RNA". It matches the Rfam family "Bacterial small subunit ribosomal RNA", at positions 28 to 507 of the family's 1533-position model. The record is from RNAcentral.